CCCUGAGAGGAACCAUAGAAGAGUUAUCCGUCGCCCUUGGGGAGGGGAGGACUGAGCUACAACAGUUAAAGAUCGAGCUGGUAUACGAGUAGCAGGUGGUCAAGGAUGCGGAGGCAGAGUCCGAGGUCCUGAGAGAAAGGCUCUGAGAGACAGAGAACGAAAGCCAACGGUUUCAUCGGAUGUAUCUGGAGAUACUAAUAAGGGAGAAA
This 209-nucleotide long non-coding RNA is filed under the name Elaeis guineensis (African oil palm). Its description in RNAcentral is "long non-coding RNA (EGUI_LNC056102)". The record is from RNAcentral. Lineage: Eukaryota; Viridiplantae; Streptophyta; Magnoliopsida; Arecales; Arecaceae.